GGAGGAACCCAGGGCGGAAGUGCCGUGUAGGGCUUGCGGGCACUAUGGGCGGAGGCUGUCGGGCCGGGCCGGACCGGACUCGGGCCGGCGAGGCGCAGUGCAGCAACGAGAUGCCUUGGAUUUAAAGACGGUGUGUAUUAAAUGAAGUAUGAGAAGAAACAGCUUCUUCGGACACUUGCGCUCCUCUUCUUCAGCUCGUGGAGGAGGCUGACAGCCUGUCUCACUCUCGUCAGUGCUAUCCCACCAGCUCCUUUAGGAGCCCAGCACCGCGUUUGGCCUGUUGCGAUCUUCCCGCUCCCCUCAUUUCUGUGCUGCAACGCCACCAUCCACGAGAAGUCAGACAGGAGAAAAGCUCUUUCCAGAGAGAUGGAGAAGGAAUUAAUUAGACCUCUGCCUCAUCCUGCAAGACCAGAAGACAUGGAGUAACUGUAAGCUGCGAUUCUCAGGAGACAUACUAAGAGUCUCGGGUUCCUUUUCUGCCCGCCCCCCAAGGCCUUGGGCACGUUGGGUUCACCCUGGGAAGGGCACGUUGCUCAGGGCAGUUAUUUCCUCCCCUAGACGACGUGGGGUGCAUUUCUCUGCUGCACUUGUGGUUUUCCACUUGUGGUUUUCCACGUGGUUCGCACUGCUUCCAUUAUUGAGAAAACGGUUUGGGAAGCUGUGUCUUCUCAGGAUUUUCUGCCACCACCUGCUGGCAAAAAAAAUCAGUAACGCAGGUGGAGCCAUGUAGGACUUCUCAGAGGUAAGCCUUCAACGUAUGGGGACCCCUAAACUAAACUCGUGAGCCGAGCACGCAAGACAAAUGUCCGUGGCACAAAGAUCAAGGACGACUUCUCAGAGUAGGUAAACCUUAGGAGGAAUCGGUCAAAGGAAACAGCAACUGUCAAGUUCUUGUUCGGCAACUCGGUGACUGAUUUGAUCUACUUCUCAGAUGUAGAGGCAAAUGGACUGCUCUUUUGAAAUGAUAAAAUAAAAAACAUGAAUUUUGUCAAA
Long non-coding RNA from Cygnus atratus (black swan), 993 nucleotides. RefSeq lists it as uncharacterized. Lineage: Eukaryota; Metazoa; Chordata; Aves; Anseriformes; Anatidae. The record is from RefSeq and is a predicted model, not a curated record. The transcript has 4 exons.